RNAcentral lists this ribosomal RNA (465 nucleotides) under uncultured bacterium. RNAcentral's name for it is "partial 16S ribosomal RNA". It matches the Rfam family "Bacterial small subunit ribosomal RNA", at positions 338 to 795 of the family's 1533-position model. The record is from RNAcentral.
CCUACGGGGUGCAGCAGUAGGGAAUCUUCCACAAUGGGCGAAAGCCUGAUGGAGCAACGCCGCGUGGGUGAAGAAGGUCUUCGGAUCGUAAAACCCUGUUGUUAGAGAAGAAAGUGCGUGAGAGUAACUGUUCACGUUUCGACGGUAUCUAACCAGAAAGCAACGGCUAACUACGUGCCAGCAGCCGCGGUAAUACGUAGGUGGCAAGCGUUAUCCGGAUUUAUUGGGCGUAAAGGGAACGCAGGCGGUCUUUUAAGUCUGAUGUGAAAGCCUUCGGCUUAACCGGAGUAGUGCAUUGGAAACUGGGAGACGUGAGUGCAGAAGAGGAGAGUGGAACUCCAUGUGGAGCGGUGAAAUGCGUAGAGAUAUGGAAGAACACCAGUGGCGAAAGCGGCUCUCUGGUCUGUAACUGACGCUGAGGUGCGAAAGCGUGGGGAGCAAACAGGAUUAGAUACCCCGGUAGUC